This 423-nucleotide long non-coding RNA is filed under the name Ananas comosus (pineapple). Its description in RNAcentral is "long non-coding RNA (ACOM_LNC015106)". Lineage: Eukaryota; Viridiplantae; Streptophyta; Magnoliopsida; Poales; Bromeliaceae. The record is from RNAcentral.
ACGAGGGCAUUACGACCAACCAUAAGAUCAAACAUUAAUCUAGAAGCAAAAAGGGCCAAAACUCACCUCAAGAGAAGAAAUCUCUUCCAAAGCUCCAAAAGAGAGCUAGAACCCUUCCAAUCCAAGCCCAAGGAAGGUUCUAAACCAACUAAUCUAGCCUCAAAAGCCCUAGAUCAAAAAGCCCCAAAAUCAACCCUAAAUCUCAUUUCUAGGGUUCCAACUACAAAAACCAUCAAAACAAGAUCUAGAGGAGGGAAAUGGGCAACAAACCUCCUUAGAAGCUCCAAUCCUAGCUCCAAGGGUGAAAAUCUCCUCCUAUGCAAGCUCCAAGUCCAAGCCUUCAAGCACCAACAAGGUGGGAAGAGGAAGAAAGGCAAAAGGGAUGCUCCAAACCCAAGCUAGAUCCUUCUCCUCUUCUUCUCC